GUGUAAGUUAUUAAGGGCACACGGUGGAUGCCUUGGCAUUAAGAGCCGAUGAAGGACGUGUGAAUCUGCGAUAAGCCUCGGGGAGCCGAUAACUGGGCGUUGAUUCGAGGAUUUCCGAAUGGGGAAACCUGGCUCAUCUUCAUGGUGAGUUACCGCCAGCUGAAUGUAUAGGCUGGUUGGGGGGAACGCGGGGAAGUGAAACAUCUCAGUACCCGCAGGAAGAGAAAAUAAAGUAAUGAUUCUGUGAGUAGUGGCGAGCGAAAGCGGAAGAGACUAAACCUGUGGUGUGUGAUAGCGGUUAGGCGUUGCAUCAUGGGGGUUGUGGGAGUCACAGUGGCGGUUCUAACUGGCUGCCGGCAUGAUGUUCAGGAUGGUAGGUGAACGACUUGGAAUGGUCGGCCGUAGAGGGUGAGAGUCCCGUAAUCGAAAUUGUUCUGUCCGUGGUGUGGCCACCCGAGUAGCACGGGGCUCGUGGAAUCUCGUGUGAAUCUGCCAGGACCACCUGGUAAGUCUAAAUACUUCUUAGUGACCGAUAGUGAAUCAGUACCGUGAGGGAAUGGUGAAAAGUACCCCGGGAGGGGAGUGAAAUAGUACCUGAAACCGUGUGCUUACAAGCCGUUGGAGCCUUUUGGGGUGACAGCGUGCCUUUUGAAGAAUGAGCCUGCGAGUUAGUGUUAUGUCGCGAGGUUAACCCGUGUGGGGUAUCCGUAGCGAAAGCGAGUCUGAAUAGGGCGUUUGAGUGGCAUGACCUAGACCCGAAGCGGAGUGAUCUAUCCAUGGCCAGGUUGAAGCGACGGUAAGACGUCGUGGAGGACCGAACCCACUUCAGUUGAAAAUGGAGGGGAUGAGCUGUGGAUAGGGGUGAAAGGCCAAUCAAACUCUGUGAUAGCUGGUUCUCCCCGAAAUGCAUUUAGGUGCAGCGUUACGUGUUUCUUGCCGGAGGUAGAGCUACUGGAUGGCCGAUGGGCCUUCACGGGUUACUGACGUCAGCUAAACUCCGAAUGCCGGUAAGUGAGAGCGUAGCAGUGAGACAGUGGGGGAUAAGCUUCAUUGUCGAGAGGGAAACAGCCCAGACCACCAACUAAGGCCCCUAAGCGUGUGCUAAGUGGGAAAGGAUGUGGAGUUGCUUAGACAACCAGGAGGUUGGCUUAGAAGCAGCCACCCUUGAAAGAGUGCGUAACAGCUCACUGGUCAAGUGAUUCUGCGCCGAUAAUGUAGCGGGGCUCAAGUACACCGCCGAAGUUGUGGCAAUGAUCUUUUUGGAUUGUUGGGUAGGGGAGCGUCGUGUGGCCGUUGAAGCUGCGGUGUAAACCAGUGGUGGAGGCUAUGCGAGUGAGAAUGCAGGCAUGAGUAGCGAAAGAUGAGUGAGAAACUCAUCCGCCGGAUGAUCAAGGGUUCCAGGGUCAAGUUAAUCUGCCCUGGGUUAGUCGGGGCCUAAGGCGAGGCCGACAGGCGUAGUCGAUGGAUAACGGGUUGAUAUUCCCGUACCGGUGAAGAACCGCCCAUACUGAUAUUGUGAUGCUAACCAUGCGAAGCAUGAUGUGCAGGCUUUUGUUUGUGUGUUGUGUGGGUUGUGGGGCCCGAUCUUUGGAGGUAAACGUGUUAACAGGUGUGACGCAGGAAGGUAGCCAAGCCACGCGAUGGUUGUCGUGGUCUAAGCGUGUAGGGUUGUCGGUUGUUAAAUGCGCCGGCUGUGUGCCUGAGACGUGAUGGGACCCUGUUUUUGGGGGAUUUGGUGAUCCUAUGCUGCCGAGAAAAGCAUCGGCGUGAGGUUUUAGCCGCCCGUACCCUAAACCGACACAGGUGAUCAGGUAGAGAAUACUAAGGCGAUCGAGAGAAUCAUGGUUAAGGAACUCGGCAAAAUGCCCCCGUAACUUCGGGAGAAGGGGGACCUUGAGCGUGAUGGGCACUUGCUGCCUGGAGCGUGUAUGGGUCGCAGAGACCAGGGGGAAGCGACUGUUUAUCAAAAACACAGGUCCGUGCGAAGUCGUAAGACGAUGUAUACGGACUGACUCCUGCCCGGUGCUGGAAGGUUAAGAGGAUUGGUUAGCCUUUGUGGCGAAGCUGAGAAUUUAAGCCCCAGUAAACGGCGGUGGUAACUAUAACCAUCCUAAGGUAGCGAAAUUCCUUGUCGGGUAAGUUCCGACCUGCACGAAU
Molecule: ribosomal RNA, 2157 nt
Filed under: Rothia mucilaginosa
Lineage: Bacteria; Bacillati; Actinomycetota; Actinomycetes; Micrococcales; Micrococcaceae
Description: partial 23S ribosomal RNA
Rfam family: Bacterial large subunit ribosomal RNA
Source: RNAcentral